UACGUAGGGGGCAAGCGUUGUCCGGAUUUAUUGGGCGUAAAGGGCUUGUAGGUGGCCACGCCAAGUCGGAUGUGAAAUCUCCCGGCUCAACUGGGAGGGGUCAUUCGAUACUGGCGGGCUCGAGGCCGGUAGGGGGAAGUGGAAUUCCCGGUGUAGGGGUGGAAUGCGUAGAUAUCGGGAGGAACACCAGUGGCGAAGGCGGCUUCCUGGACCGGUUCUGACACUGAGGAGCGAAAGCGUGGGGAGCGAUCCGG
This 254-nucleotide ribosomal RNA is filed under the name uncultured bacterium. RNAcentral's name for it is "partial 16S ribosomal RNA". It matches the Rfam family "Bacterial small subunit ribosomal RNA", at positions 524 to 776 of the family's 1533-position model. The record is from RNAcentral.